GUUGGUGGUAGUGGCACAUCAGCGAUAUUUCAACGUGUGUCGGAUGAGUACAACCACGACGGCGACCAGCGACGGUAGUGGUGGUCAUGGUGACGACGAUGGUGAUAGGGACAGUAACUGUAAUAGUGGCGGGUGGUAGUAGCAAAGAAGAGGCCAGGUGGGCCUGCAGAUUUAUGGGGUCCAGAAAGGGUUGAGGGUCCGAAAAGUGCGUUUUUCACUCGGCCGUGAGCUACCGACGUUGUUAUACGCCGCAGUGUAGAGGAGGCUUCGUGAGUUCUCGUUGCUGCUGCAUUACUGUACCCGUCGCUGUUCCUUCCGCCAUUGUUGCUACCGCCGGCUGCCAGCCGUUUGCUCGUCGCACGGGAGAUAGUUGAUGGAAGUGACGACGGUGGAAGUGGUGCCUAGUUUCAAGGUUGCCACCUCGGACUCGUGAGUCUCGCACGCGCGUUACACACGUUAACAAGACACACGCGUUUCGCGUCUAAUUUGACUCAACGCUCGCAAAAAACGGCCGAUAUUCAUGUACUCUCAGGCUCAAGUAGAAAUUUAGUAAGACAUUAAUUAAGACGUUAAUUCAAAAUGUGAUUUUAAAAACUAACCUAAACGAGAUAGGGAAAGUGGAGGCAUUUGUAUCUAACAAUAAGAGAAUCUACAAGGUAAGAUCAAUUCCAAAUUGAAUAAAUGUAGAAAAUUGAUUCAUCAUGUACUGGCGUCAAAUAAUUCUUCACGUCAUCCAAACUGAAUGUUCGGUAUUCGGUAUUCAAUAACGUUUAUCAGCGUCGCCGAUAAAAUUGUCCCCUACGGAACAUUCAUAAACCGAAAUAAACAUUUCUGCGGGUUUUUGCAUCAACUGUACUUCUCUAAUGGAUAAGCUUUGCCAUCCUGCAUCAAGUAUUGCAAAAUCUCGCUCCGGAAAUAUGACUAUGGAUUAUGCGUACUUAGCAUAACAUUUAUGAUCGUUUUUCGUUACGUAUACGCACGCGGCUGGAAAAAAAAUACGCACGUGCGGCAGAUUGGAUCGAUAAUUAUAAUCAGGCACGGCGAGCGAAAGGAUUCUCGGGCGUCCUGGUGCGCGGCACUUUUUGUCGCUUAAUGAAAGGCGGUAACGCCUCUUCGCGGAAAGAUACGAGUCGAUUCUAAAAUAGGAACGAGGUUGCACGGGCGUGUGCACUUGUCAUUAGCAUCGAUAGAUGCUUAUUUGCGCGCCUCGUCGGGAAACGAGAGUUCCACGGGCGCUUCGAGGACUAAAAAUUCAGCGUCAAUCCGUAAUCAGCGAUCGAGCGAUCCCAGAACAAUUUCGCUUGCAAAUACAUAGCGAUUGCUACGAGUCAAACGUUUUGCCGAGGGUACAGAGGGAAGUGCGUUCUAUCAAAGCGAGAGGUCAUCAAACCUCAAACCAAGAGUCGCCAUCGCUGCGCAAGGAGUCCGACUCACUGAUGCUCUUUUUCAGAAAGUGAAAAUGGAUAUGAUCGAGCAGUCUCGAACAUCUAUUUAUGCAUAUAUAUUUGCGCUUGCAAAAUAUCAGCGCGCCCGAGAUCGUUCGCCAAGCGAGCGUGCGUGACUUUUAGGUUGGCAAAUGUAUCUCCGUUCGCUUCUCCGCGCGACGUCGAGAAGGAUGCUAACAAAGUCCCUUUUCCGCCGCCGAGAAGUAGCCAUUCUUACGCCUGCCUCGCUCAAGAAUUUCCUCACGCCCCAGUUUGGGGUCCGAUGUCUCAGACAAUUGAAAACGUGUGAAACUAGUUGCGCAAGCUGACAUCGUUAUGCGGUUUUAUUAGCGGAGGAAAAGACGUCGCCGGGGCGUGAGCGUACCUCGCGCGUCUUAUCGUGGAUCUCCUCUUAUUUCAGUCAAUAAAGACUCAUCCGCUAAUCAUGCGUUACCAAGAUUUUAAUUACCCCGGGGUGUCCCGUUUGCGCGCGGGUGACACGUGUCACCCGCGCAUCGCGGCCUCGUCACUAUCUUUCGUUUGACGAUUUUAUCGGCGAUCCGCCGUUUGCGACGCGCCGCGGCGGAUCAGCCGGCGAUCGCAUCGUGCACGCGUAUCGAUACAUGGAAGAAAAUACGAUUGUGCUAUCAUCGCGGGGAACGAAGCAAUAGAGUGUAGUUAAUGGCUCCGGCUGAUGUCACGCGGUAACCUUCUACUUUGCACGUACAGUAGUUCACAGAAAUACGCUCGCGAGUGCGACACGCGCGCUCUCUCACUCGUCGAAAUACAAUCGGGAUCGGAGUCCGCGAGAAUUUUCGCUCCGGGAGACGGCGGUUCGCGCGAUCAUAAACGCGCGUUGCAUAAAGUGACAACCUUGGGGAAAUGCGACGGAAUUCUACGUAAAAGAGAUGAUUAAACAUUUUUCUCAAUUAGUUGCUCUCUUAAUUGCUCUACAAGACUUUCGGUGGAUGUUCCGUCUAAGGCAGUAUUCCUUAAAGUACAAUUUUACUUCAAGCGACCCGAUCACGUCUUCAGUUGAUGUACAAAAAAUUGGCUCUUAAAGCAAAAAUAUAGAAAAUAUCAUUGAAGUAAAAUUAACUUCAUUAAAUUAAUUUGUUUAAUUAACCUUCUGACAUUCUCCCUCCCUUUGAUUUUCAUACCUCGCCUUAUUAGCGAGUUAAUCAGGCAGGUAUUUUUGAAAGGCCGACCCGCGCUUGGAACAAAACUGGCACAAAAUGAGCAGUUUGAAUCGUCGACUAAUGCGACAAUUAGCCUCAACGCGGAUCGGUAUAAUUUUAAGGAACGCUGCGUUAUUACCGAUGCGAUUCAGUGAAAGGCGAAUUGAAUGCGCGACCGCGAAGGUUUUCGCGAAACGACGCGCUCGACGUGCAUGCUGACGGGGCACGGAUCGUGGCGGAUCUGCACCUUGGCGACGAAUGAUAAGGUCUCUUUUCCACGUACGUGACCAGAUAAUAAGCCGAGAGACCUCGACUUUCCAAAGAAGAAUACGUGCGCGCACACGCCUCGCCGUAAGAAAAUAGGAAAAAAAACAACGGCGGGAUUGCAUAAGAGAUCGUCUUUCUGAAACGACAGCUCGUGUCGCCGAUGGAAACGGUUAGAGACGUUGACGCAAUCGUCAUUCAGGAUGAGACGAGACGCGCGAAAACAAAUAGCGAAGUAUCAUAGAAUUUGAAUUAGCGGCCGAAUUGAAAUCGACUUCCACUUUCUCCAUUUUGAAAUAUACAAUUAACUUAUCCUUAUCAAUUUUUUUUACCCAAGUCAAACUGACUUCUAAUGUCCAUUUCUACCAAUGUAGAUUAAUUUUGAUCUCGGUUUAACUUUCUU
Vollenhovia emeryi is the source of this 3269-nucleotide long non-coding RNA. RefSeq lists it as uncharacterized. The transcript has 3 exons. Lineage: Eukaryota; Metazoa; Arthropoda; Insecta; Hymenoptera; Formicidae. The record is from RefSeq and is a predicted model, not a curated record.